UUUCUUUCGUUUGUUCUUGCUUUUGCUCUCUAUCUUUAUUCCUUUCUCUCUCUCUCUCGUUUCUGUUAUACAGGAAUAGACUCAGUUCACUUAGUUUUACAAAUGCAAAAUAUAAUAGAAAGUCUGUGCUAUUGAAGAGUAUUGUAUUCAAAGGGUUACUGAGCUGACAAUGUCCCCUGACUAACUAUAAAAUGUAAUCAGCAAUAGCACAGGCUCCUGGAACCAGGCUGUCAGGACCAGCAUCGAGGCAGCUGUGUACAGGGAUCAGCAUCUGACAGGUCCAAGUUCGAAUCUCACCUGUGCCACUUACUACCAUAGGACAAAGUUCACAGGACAAAGUUCUUAACAUCUCAGAGCCUGUUUCCUCAUACAUAAAAUGGAAAUAAAAAUACUCGACUUAAUAGCACUGCUGCAGUGUUUAAGUAAGAUAGGGUAAUGUGUCCAGCAUGAUAUCCAGAUAUGAAUGUUACUGAAUCAGCUAAGUCUACAUUUGGCUCUGAGUGUCAGAAAACCUAAUAAGCUCUUCUAAAUUAGGGACUGUAUGUGUCUCAUGCAACAAGAAAUCUGAUGAUGGGCUUGCCAGAGCUCAAGCUCAUUUUAUCUUCCUGCUCCAGUAUCCCCAGUUCGGCUUUUGUUGCUGUGAUUGCAAGAAGGGGUGGGUGGGGGAGGGGUGUGACUUCCUGAUAGAAUGAUGGGAUAAGAACAAAGAAAAACAUUCUAAGAGGAAUCUCCUCUUGAAAGUCUCUCCCCAGGGACCAUGACUGAGAGCUCAUUGGCUGUAGCUGGGUCACAUGGCCACAGAAAAAAGAGUCUGGGAAGAUGAGAAUAUUUUUUAGCUGGGCACUUUGCUGUCCUUACAACAGCAAGAUUUUGUUAGGAACGAAGAGGGUAGUGAUAAGCUCCUCACCUCCUGCCUGCCUAAGCUCCAGUUGCAAGGAAGGGAGAUAGAGUGAGAAGAAUAAAAAUAAAGAAGUUGCUCAUCUCUUCAUUUUGCAUGUAAGUGAUGAUUGCCUUUCUUCUCUUAGCAAAUUGGCUAGUAUGGUCUAUGUUCAACAAGUAUUCCAUUUGCUACCUUCUCCCAGACACUAUUCGAAAUAUACACAUACAGUGAUCUUACAAUUAGCCCAUUCUCAUACAGGAAGAAAAUGCAAUCUUCAUGAAAAUCCCCUAACUCCACUUCAGACACUGAAGUUCACCUUUUUGAAGUGUACUGAGCCUGACAGCUAGGCCAGAAUCUUAGGAAAGUACCUCCAUUAGAAGGUUAACCUAGAGAAAGAAAAAGAAGUGCCAGGCUUUGCAGAAGAACAGGGGAACUGUGGCAUUGUGAAGGAUGUGGCUGAGUUCAGAGGGUCAUGAAGGAAUGGGAAAUGCUUUGGAAGAACUUGAGGAUGAGAUCUCCUGAUAAGGUGUGAUUGAAUUUUUUAAAGGAGGACCUUGAAGUUUGCACAGCAUGGUGACGGUGACACCAAAUGAAAAGAGGACUGAGAACAGACUGUAAGCGCCCAGCAUAAUGAGCAUUAACACUUACUGUGAUGGGGAGACUGUUUCCAUGAAUGCCAACUGAGAUCUAGAAGACUGUGUUAGGUUUUUAACAGCCAUAUCCUACAAUGGGAUUAUAUUUGAGUUUGUAACCACCUAAAAUCCUCAGACCUUCUUUUUUUUUCCCAUGAAAAUGAGUGAGUCUCUUGUCUUUUAUCUGUAUGAUAACAUUUUAAAUUUAAAUAUAGGGUUUUAUGUUUAUUCCUGUUAUAUUUAAUCUCUUUGGUUUUGAUCCAGCAAUUCAGCCUGCCAAAAAUUCAGAUUGCUAAAUAAGGGAUACCAAUCAGAUGUUUUCUAUCUUCCCUGGAGAAACUAAGGAACUUCAAGUUUAAAAUGCCUCAUGAAGAAUUGGGAUAAAAUAUAAAGAAUUUCCUGAAGAAAGGGAGGAAGAUGAUUGUGUACUGAAUGAUUGCAAUAGAACAUCUGAAAAUGUAAAAUGAAAAGGAUAACUGAACUUUUCUAUGAAGAGCUUGAUUAUGGCCAUACAUUGAAUUAAUGAGCAUUCAGUGAGUCCACAGUUCUUUGUUGAGGGUCUCCUGCAUGCCAUACACUGUGCUACGUCCUGGGGCUCCAUAAAUUCUUUGUUAACAAAAUAAAAAUACCCCCAUACAGAGAAGCACUUUCAGAUACAUUACCUCAUCUCUAACAGAACACACAGUCAACAGAACCAUGCGGAGGCUGAUCAAUAUUCUAAACAAUAGUUUCAUAAAUACUGUCCCUAGACUCGUCUACUCACUGGGAGCUGCAGGGGUUGGUAUUCUAGCUAGCAAAUGAAACAAUCUGCAUACAUGCUUAAAUCAAGUUUGUUUAAAAUUAGAAAAUGGCAUAAUGUAUUCAAAAGUUUUUAUGCAGUAUUUGCAUGGAAUUUAAAAUAUGCUACAUGCUUUGAAUUAGGAGAGCAGAGCGAUGUGUAGCUCAUCUAUUGGUCUGAUCGAAUGUUUAAAAAUCAAAUUUUAGAGAGCUCUGUACUUAAAUAACUGUAAAAGAAAAUAAAAUCAGAAUGCAUAA
Molecule: long non-coding RNA, 2547 nt
Filed under: Homo sapiens (human)
Lineage: Eukaryota; Metazoa; Chordata; Mammalia; Primates; Hominidae
Description: HSALNT0299353
Source: RNAcentral